AUUUAAAUAGCUUAAAUGAAAGCAUAACAUUGAAGAUGUUAGGAUAGUUAAAGACUUUUAAAUG
This 64-nucleotide transfer RNA is filed under the name Nemoptera coa. RNAcentral's name for it is "tRNA-Phe". Lineage: Eukaryota; Metazoa; Arthropoda; Insecta; Neuroptera; Nemopteridae. The record is from RNAcentral.